GGGGUAAUAGCUCAGUGGUAGAGCGCAUGCUUAGCAUGCAUGAGGUCCUGGGUUCUAUUCCCCAGUACCUCCA
This 73-nucleotide transfer RNA is filed under the name Camelus bactrianus (Bactrian camel). It matches the Rfam family "tRNA". From Rfam's summary of the family: Transfer RNA (tRNA) molecules are approximately 80 nucleotides in length. Their secondary structure includes four short double-helical elements and three loops (D, anti-codon, and T loops). Further hydrogen bonds mediate the characteristic L-shaped molecular structure. tRNAs have two regions of fundamental functional importance: the anti-codon, which is responsible for specific mRNA codon recognition, and the 3' end, to which the tRNAs corresponding amino acid is attached (by aminoacyl-tRNA synthetases). tRNAs cope with the degeneracy of the genetic code in two manners: having more than one tRNA (with a specific anti-codon) for a particular amino acid; and 'wobble' base-pairing, i.e. permitting non-standard base-pairing at the 3rd anti-codon position. RNAcentral also lists the same sequence under 2 other names. The record is from Rfam by way of RNAcentral. Lineage: Eukaryota; Metazoa; Chordata; Mammalia; Artiodactyla; Camelidae.